AACGAACGCUGGCGGCGCGUCUUAAGCAUGCAAGUCGAACGGCAAGGCAGGUGCUUGCACCUGCCCUAGAGGGGCGGACUGGUGAGUAACACGUGGGUGACAUGCCUUUAGUUGGGGAUAGCUACUAGAAAUAGUAGAUAAUACCGAAUGUGAUCAAUAUUUAUAGAUGAUGUUGAGGAAAGGAGCUAAGGCUUCGCUAAAAGAUUGGCCCGCGGCCCAUUAGCUAGUUGGUAGGGUAAAGGCUUACCAAGGCGAUGAUGGGUAUCCGACCUGAGAGGGUGAUCGGACACAUUGGGACUGAGAUACGGCCCAGACUCCUACGGGAGGCAGCAGCUAAGAAUAUUCCACAAUGGACGAAAGUCUGAUGGAGCGACGCCGCGUGGAUGAUGAAGGCCCGAAAGGUUGUAAAAUCCUUUUACACUGGAGGAAUAAGCAGAGUAGGGAAUGACUCUGUGAUGACUGUACAGUUUGAAUAAGCAACGGCUAAUUACGUGCCAGCCGCAGC
RNAcentral lists this ribosomal RNA (505 nucleotides) under uncultured bacterium. RNAcentral describes it as "bacterial SSU rRNA". It matches the Rfam family "Bacterial small subunit ribosomal RNA", at positions 29 to 518 of the family's 1533-position model. The record is from RNAcentral.